UUUGGAAGUUAAAAUCGUAACAAGGUUUCCGUAGGUGAACCUGCGGAAGGAUCAUUAUCGAGUUUUGAAAAGGGUUGUAGCUGGCCUUCGGCAACAAGUCGGAGGCAUGUGCACGCCUGGCUCAUCCACUCUCAAACCCCUGUGCACCUUUUGUAGGCUUCGGCAGAGAGGACUGACUUCGGUCGGUUCAGGAAGCCUUGUGCCUAUGUCACACAUACAAACGCUUCAGUUUAGAAUGUAACAAAUCGUGCGCCUCGGUGCAACGAAAUAAAUACAACUUUCAGCAACGGAUCUCUUGGCUCUCGCAUCGAUGAAGAACGCAGCGAAAUGCGAUAAGUAAUGUGAAUUGCAGAAUUCAGUGAAUCAUCGAAUCUUUGAACGCACCUUGCGCUCCUUGGUAUUCCGAGGAGCAUGCCUGUUUGAGUGUCAUGAAAUUCUCAACCUUUGAAGCUUUUUUUGAGCUCGCAAAGGCUUGGACUUGGAGGUCGUGUCGGCUCGUAACAAAGUCGACUCCUCUGAAAUGCAUUAGUGUGAAACCUUCGCAGGAUCGCCUUCGGUGUGAUAAUUGUCUACGCCGUCGGUCGUGAAAGUCGAAACAUAUGUGUUCACGCUUCUAAUCGUCCGUUGAGGACAAACUUUUUUCUUGACCAUCUGACCUCAAAUCAGGUAGGACUACCCGCUGAACUUAAGCAUAUCAAUAAGCCGGAGGAA
This 711-nucleotide ribosomal RNA is filed under the name Bjerkandera atroalba. Its description in RNAcentral is "eukaryotic LSU rRNA". The stretch from base 276 to 429 matches the Rfam family "5.8S ribosomal RNA". Lineage: Eukaryota; Fungi; Basidiomycota; Agaricomycetes; Polyporales; Phanerochaetaceae. The record is from RNAcentral.